RNAcentral lists this ribosomal RNA (719 nucleotides) under uncultured Staphylococcus sp. RNAcentral describes it as "bacterial SSU rRNA". It matches the Rfam family "Bacterial small subunit ribosomal RNA", at positions 59 to 759 of the family's 1533-position model. The record is from RNAcentral. Lineage: Bacteria; Bacillati; Bacillota; Bacilli; Caryophanales; Staphylococcaceae.
AAGUCGAGCGAACAGACGAGGAGCUUGCUCCUCUGACGUUAGCGGCGGACGGGUGAGUAACACGUGGAUAACCUACCUAUAAGACUGGGAUAACUUCGGGAAACCGGAGCUAAUACCGGAUAAUAUAUUGAACCGCAUGGUUCAAUAGUGAAAGACGGUUUUGCUGUCACUUAUAGAUGGAUCCGCGCCGCAUUAGCUAGUUGGUAAGGUAACGGCUUACCAAGGCAACGAUGCGUAGCCGACCUGAGAGGGUGAUCGGCCACACUGGAACUGAGACACGGUCCAGACUCCUACGGGAGGCAGCAGUAGGGAAUCUUCCGCAAUGGGCGAAAGCCUGACGGAGCAACGCCGCGUGAGUGAUGAAGGUCUUCGGAUCGUAAAACUCUGUUAUUAGGGAAGAACAAAUGUGUAAGUAACUAUGCACGUCUUGACGGUACCUAAUCAGAAAGCCACGGCUAACUACGUGCCAGCAGCCGCGGUAAUACGUAGGUGGCAAGCGUUAUCCGGAAUUAUUGGGCGUAAAGCGCGCGUAGGCGGUUUUUUAAGUCUGAUGUGAAAGCCCACGGCUCAACCGUGGAGGGUCAUUGGAAACUGGAAAACUUGAGUGCAGAAGAGGAAUAGUGGAAUUCCAUGUGUAGCGGUGAAAUGCGCAGAGAUAUGGAGGAACACCAGUGGCGAAGGCGACUUUCUGGUCUGUAACUGACGCUGAUGUGCGAAAG